This 1617-nucleotide long non-coding RNA is filed under the name Citrus x clementina. Its description in RNAcentral is "Citrus clementina (C. clementina) long non-coding RNA (CCLE_LNC002686)". The record is from RNAcentral. Lineage: Eukaryota; Viridiplantae; Streptophyta; Magnoliopsida; Sapindales; Rutaceae.
UUUUUUCCACAACAACUAUAACUUAAAAAUUACAACACCUCAAUCUCAAACACACUUUAAUUCUAGUCGUAAACGAUGGAUAUUAGGAGUUGCAAGUAUCAACCCGUGCGGUGUUGUGGCUAACGCGUUAAGUAUCCAACUGGAGAGUAAGCUCGCCAGAAUGAAACUAAAAGGAAUUGAGAUUUGGACAUGAUAUAGACAAGCUUUUUAGGAAAAUAAAUAGAUAGAUAAUAUACACCUGAUACAGACUUACGUGCAUGUAAUGCCCAAGGAAAAUGAUCGCAUAUAUUAAGAUAUACGGCUAGGUUACCUCAAUUAUGAUUCUGGUUUCAAUAUCCCUUCUCUUUGUUUGCUCAUUCCCUUCUCUCAGUUUGCUAAUGUUGCAAAUUACAGUACUAAUAAGGUAAAGCACAAAGUUAAUUUUUAUAAAAUGAUAAUUAGGUUAGCAAUCACGGACUUGCUAUGCAUAUGACUAGUGGCCAAUAAAUUAAGUUCGCUGGUGAAAAAGAAAAACUCCUUAAAGCAUCUUUAUAAAAAUAUUAUUUGAGCACAAAAGGAAUGUUCAAUAAGCUCCUAAUGAUUCAACCUUUUUUUUGUUUUUUUUAGUUGAUUUAUAGAAUCUGUUUGAAAAAAUCUCCUAAAUAAAAGUAAAUUAUACAUAAUUUAAUAAUUAUCCUUCAUACUUCUAAAAUUAUAGAAAUGAAGUUCAAUAAUCAAUACCCUUUAAAUUAGGGAAAACAAGCAAAACCUCUUGAUAUUUGACAAAACUUAUCAUAACUGCCCUAAUGUUUCAAAUCCCCUAACAAAACAUUAAUGACUAUAACUGUGUAGUGAGGGUAUAUUUGUCUUUGACAUUAAUGUUUUAACAUUCAAUUUUAGCUAAUAUGAGCUUGUAUAUGUAGUUUCUUGGGUCUUGGAAAUGGCGAUAAAUUCUUUUACAAUUAAAAGAGAGAUAAAAGAAAGAAAUUAAUAUUAAUUGUCUUAAUUUAAAAAGAAAAUUAAUAAAUUAAAGGAAGAUAAGAGAAAUUAUUUUAAUCCAUAAAUAAUAAAUCUAAACUUUUUUAGAGAAGAAAAGAAUAAAGAGGAACUAAGAGGAGAUAACUUUGUAUUUUAAAAAUUUCCAAACCUUAGGAGAAAGUUUUAGGACAAUUAAUGAUAAAUGAAUUAUUAGAAUAAAAAUAAUUUUUAAUUUUUUUAAGUCAGUAGAGGCUUCAGCUCUUUUCUUAGCAUCAUAGUAAACGGCCUUGAUGAGAGUGUAGGCGUCCAUCUCUCUUAAUGCUGAAAGCAUGACAUCCUAUUACAAUUCCGAACAGUAGUGACCAUUUCAUUAGUUAGCUACUCAAGAUAAGGGUAUGCUUUAUUCUUUUAAAAAGAAAAAAAAAAUAUUUUAACUGUGCAUCAAAUCACAGUCCUCAUAUUGAUAUUGGCCAUAUAUGUUUAAUCUGAUAUUCACAGGGACAUGGUUAAACUUUAGAGUGCAAUUUUCAUUUACCUUUAAAUGGAUCACACCACACACAGCUUGUGCUUAGGAGCAUUCAACAGUAGUUUGCAUUUUGUUGCCAAAUCAAAACCCGUUUGAUUUUACUCAAAAGCGAUUAUUAAUUUUUCUCCUACUCA